RNAcentral lists this ribosomal RNA (440 nucleotides) under uncultured bacterium. RNAcentral describes it as "partial 16S ribosomal RNA". It matches the Rfam family "Bacterial small subunit ribosomal RNA", at positions 338 to 795 of the family's 1533-position model. The record is from RNAcentral.
CCUACGGGAGGCUGCAGUGGGGAAUAUUGCACAAUGGGGGAAACCCUGAUGCAGCGACGCCGCGUGAAGGAAGAAGUAUUUCGGUAUGUAAACUUCUAUCAGCAGGGAAGAAAAUGACGGUACCUGACUAAGAAGCCCCGGCUAACUACGUGCCAGCAGCCGCGGUAAUACGUAGGGGGCAAGCGUUAUCCGGAUUUACUGGGUGUAAAGGGAGCGUAGGCGGCGGUGUAAGUCAGAAGUGAAAGCCCGUGGCUCAACUACGGGACUGCUUUUGAAACUGUACGGCUAGAGUGCAGGAGAGGUAAGUGGAAUUCGUAGUGUAGCGGUGAAAUGCGUAGAUAUUAGGAGGAACACCAGUGGCGAAGGCGGCUUGCUGGACUGUAAAUGACGCUGAGGCUCGAAAGCGUGGGGAGCAAACAGGAUUAGAUACCCGUGUAGUC